UACGAAGGGGGCUAGCGUUGCUCGGAAUCACUGGGCGUAAAGGGCGCGUAGGCGGGUCUUUAAGUCAGGGGUGAAAUCCUGGAGCUCAACUCCAGAACUGCCUUUGAUACUGGGGAUCUUGAGUACGGGAGAGGUGAGUGGAACUGCGAGUGUAGAGGUGAAAUUCGUAGAUAUUCGCAAGAACACCAGUGGCGAAGGCGGCUCACUGGCCCGUAACUGACGCUGAGGCGCGAAAGCGUGGGGAGCAAACAGG
Molecule: ribosomal RNA, 253 nt
Filed under: uncultured bacterium
Lineage: Bacteria
Description: partial 16S ribosomal RNA
Rfam family: Bacterial small subunit ribosomal RNA
Source: RNAcentral